RNAcentral lists this microRNA precursor (98 nucleotides) under Drosophila guanche. Lineage: Eukaryota; Metazoa; Arthropoda; Insecta; Diptera; Drosophilidae. The record is from RNAcentral.
GCAUGAAGAUAAAGAGAGAGAGAGAGAGAGAGAGAGAGUGCACCACUGAGAUGUUACUUCUCUCUCUCUCUCUCUCUCUGUCUCUCGCUUUUUCUUUG